CUGGCGGCGUGCCUAAUACAUGCAAGUCGAGCGGACAGAUGGGAGCUUGCUCCCUGAUGUUAGCGGCGGACGGGUGAGUAACACGUGGGUAACCUGCCUGUAAGACUGGGAUAACUCCGGGAAACCGGGGCUAAUACCGGAUGCUUGUUUGAACCGCAUGGUUCAAACAUAAAAGGUGGCUUCGGCUACCACUUACAGAUGGACCCGCGGCGCAUUAGCUAGUUGGUGAGGUAAUGGCUCACCAAGGCAACGAUGCGUAGCCGACCUGAGAGGGUGAUCGGCCACACUGGGACUGAGACACGGCCCAGACUCCUACGGGAGGCAGCAGUAGGGAAUCUUCCGCAAUGGACGAAAGUCUGACGGAGCAACGCCGCGUGAGUGAUGAAGGUUUUCGGAUCGUAAAGCUCUGUUGUUAGGGAAGAACAAGUGCCGUUCAAAUAGGGCGGCACCUUGACGGUACCUAACCAGAAAGCCACGGCUAACUACGUGCCAGCAGCCGCGGUAAUACGUAGGUGGCAAGCGUUGUCCGGAAUUAUUGGGCGUAAAGGGCUCGCAGGCGGUUUCUUAAGUCUGAUGUGAAAGCCCCCGGCUCAACCGGGGAGGGUCAUUGGAAACUGGGGAACUUGAGUGCAGAAGAGGAGAGUGGAAUUCCACGUGUAGCGGUGAAAUGCGUAGAGAUGUGGAGGAACACCAGUGGCGAAGGCGACUCUCUGGUCUGUAACUGACGCUGAGGAGCGAAAGCGUGGGGAGCGAACAGGAUUAGAUACCCUGGUAGUCCACGCCGUAAACGAUGAGUGCUAAGUGUUAUGGGGGUUUCCGCCCCCUUAGUGCUGCAGCUAACGCAUUAAGCACUCCGCCCUGGGGGAGUACGGUCGCAAGACUGAAAACUCAAAAGGAAUUGACGGGGGCCCGCACAAGCGGUGGGAGCAUGUUGGAUUUUAAUUCGAAGCAACGCGAAG
RNAcentral lists this ribosomal RNA (959 nucleotides) under Bacillus atrophaeus. RNAcentral describes it as "bacterial SSU rRNA". It matches the Rfam family "Bacterial small subunit ribosomal RNA", at positions 36 to 966 of the family's 1533-position model. The record is from RNAcentral. Lineage: Bacteria; Bacillati; Bacillota; Bacilli; Caryophanales; Bacillaceae.